UACAGGGGGGGCAAGCGUUGUUCGGAAUUACUGGGCGUAAAGGGUGCGUAGGUGGCGCUGUAAGUCGGGUGUGAAAUUUCGGAGCUUAACUCCGAAACUGCAUUCGAUACUGCGGUGCUUGAGGACUGGAGAGGAGACUGGAAUUCAUGGUGUAGCAGUGAAAUGCGUAGAGAUCAUGAGGAAGACCAGUGGCGAAGGCGGGUCUCUGGACAGUUCCUGACACUGAGGCACGAAGGCCAGGGGAGCAAACGGG
RNAcentral lists this ribosomal RNA (253 nucleotides) under uncultured bacterium. RNAcentral describes it as "partial 16S ribosomal RNA". It matches the Rfam family "Bacterial small subunit ribosomal RNA", at positions 524 to 776 of the family's 1533-position model. The record is from RNAcentral.